UACGUAGGGCGCAAGCGUUGUCCGGAAUUAUUGGGCGUAAAGAGCUCGUAGGCGGUUUGUCGCGUCUGCUGUGAAAGCCCGGGGCCACCGGACCGUGCAGUGGGUACGGGCAGACUAGAGUGCAGUAGGGGAGACUGGAAUUCCUGGUGUAGCGGUGAAAUGCGCAGAUAUCAGGAGGAACACCGAUGGCGAAGGCAGGUCUCUGGGCUGUUACUGACGCUGAGGAGCGAAAGCAUGGGGAGCGAACAGGAUUAGAUACCCCGGUAGUCC
This 270-nucleotide ribosomal RNA is filed under the name uncultured bacterium. RNAcentral's name for it is "partial 16S ribosomal RNA". It matches the Rfam family "Bacterial small subunit ribosomal RNA", at positions 524 to 796 of the family's 1533-position model. The record is from RNAcentral.